UACGUAGGCAGCGAGCGUUGUUCGGAGUUACUGGGCGUAAAGGGUGUGUAGGCGGUUGUUUAAGUUUGGUGUGAAAUCUCCCGGCUCAACUGGGAGGGUGCGCCGAAUACUGAAUGACUUCGAGUGCGGGAGAGGAGAGUGGAAUUCCUGGUGUAGCGGUGAAAUGCGUAGAUAUCAGGAGGAACACCGGUGGUGUAGACGGCUCUCCGGACCGUAACUGACGCUGAGACACGAAAGCGUGGGUAGCAAACAGG
RNAcentral lists this ribosomal RNA (254 nucleotides) under uncultured bacterium. Its description in RNAcentral is "partial 16S ribosomal RNA". It matches the Rfam family "Bacterial small subunit ribosomal RNA", at positions 524 to 776 of the family's 1533-position model. The record is from RNAcentral.